This 512-nucleotide ribosomal RNA is filed under the name uncultured bacterium. RNAcentral's name for it is "partial 16S ribosomal RNA". It matches the Rfam family "Bacterial small subunit ribosomal RNA", at positions 28 to 523 of the family's 1533-position model. The record is from RNAcentral.
GACGAACGCUGGCGGCGUGCCUAAUACAUGCAAGUCGAGCGAACCAAUAGGAGCUUGCUCCUGUUGGUUAGCGGCGGACGGGUGAGUAACACGUGGGCAACCUGCCUGUAAGACUGGGAUAACACCGGGAAACCGGUGCUAAUACCGGAUAAUCUUUUUCCUCUCACGAGGAAAAACUGAAAGUCGGUUUCGGCUGACACUUACAGAUGGGCCCGCGGCGCAUUAGCUAGUUGGUGAGGUAACGGCUCACCAAGGCGACGAUGCGUAGCCGACCUGGGAGGGUGAUCGGCCACACUGGGACUGAGACACGGCCCAGACUCCUACGGGAGGCAGCAGUAGGGAAUCUUCCACAAUGGACGAAAGUCUGAUGGAGCAACGCCGCGUGAGCGAUGAAGGCCUUCGGGUCGUAAAGCUCUGUUGUUAGGGAAGAACAAGUACCGGAGUAACUGCCGGUGCCUUGACGGUACCUAACCAGAAAGCCACGGCUAACUACGUGCCAGCCGCCGCGGUAA